Molecule: non-coding RNA, 29 nt
Filed under: Rattus norvegicus (Norway rat)
Lineage: Eukaryota; Metazoa; Chordata; Mammalia; Rodentia; Muridae
Source: RNAcentral
UGACCAGUGGUGGCCAAACCAGAAGUAGU